RNAcentral lists this ribosomal RNA (497 nucleotides) under uncultured bacterium. RNAcentral's name for it is "partial 16S ribosomal RNA". It matches the Rfam family "Bacterial small subunit ribosomal RNA", at positions 28 to 507 of the family's 1533-position model. The record is from RNAcentral.
GAUGAACGCUGGCGGCGUGCCUAAUACAUGCAAGUCGAGCGAACAGACGAGGAGCUUGCUCCUCUGACGUUAGCGGCGGACGGGUGAGUAACACGUGGAUAACCUACCUAUAAGACUUGGAUAACUGCGGGAAACCGGAGCUCAUAACGGAUAAUAUAUUGAACCGCAUGGUUCAAUAGUGAAAGACGGUUUUGCUGUCACUUAUAGAUGGAUCCGUGCCGCAUUAGCUAGUUGGUAAGGUAACGGCUUACCAAGGCAACGAUGCGUAGCCGACCUGAGAGGGUGAUCGCCGACACUGGAGCUGAGACACGGUCCAGGCGCCUACGGGAGGCAGCAGUAGCGAAUCUUCCGCAGUGGGCGAAAGCAUGACGGAGCAACGCCACGUGUGUUAUGAAGGUCUUCGGAUCGUAAUACUCUGUUAUUAGUGAAGAACAAAUGUGGAAGUAACUAUGCCCGUCUGGACGGUACCUUAUCAGAAAGCCACCGCUAACUACGUG